GAUGAACGCUGACAGAAUGCUUAACACAUGCAAGUCGAUGGGGAAGUGGUGCUUGCACCAUGGUAACCAUGGCGGACGGGUGAGUAACGCGUAAGGAACUUACCUGCGGGACCGGGAUAACAGCAGGAAACUGCUGACAAGACCGGAUAAGGUCAUUAAGCUGCAUAGCUUAGUGAUGAAAGGAGACGCCUGCGGAGAGCCUUGCGUCCUAUUAGCUAGUUGGAGGGGUAACGGCCCACCAAGGCGAAGAUAGGUAGCCGGCCUGAGAGGGUGGACGGCCACAAGGGGACUGAGAUACGGCCCUUACUCCUACGGGAGGCAGCAGUGGGGAAUAUUGGACAAUGGGGGCAACCCUGAUCCAGCAAUUCUGAGUGCACGAAGACGGUUUUCGGAUUGUAAAGUGCUUUCAGCAGGGAAGAAGGAAGUGACGGUACCUGCAGAAGAAGCGACGGCUAAAUACGUG
This 463-nucleotide ribosomal RNA is filed under the name uncultured bacterium. RNAcentral's name for it is "partial 16S ribosomal RNA". It matches the Rfam family "Bacterial small subunit ribosomal RNA", at positions 28 to 507 of the family's 1533-position model. The record is from RNAcentral.